Molecule: ribosomal RNA, 276 nt
Filed under: Triticum aestivum (bread wheat)
Lineage: Eukaryota; Viridiplantae; Streptophyta; Magnoliopsida; Poales; Poaceae
Description: partial small subunit ribosomal RNA
Source: RNAcentral
AUGCUUGGAGGGACAGAAGUUUCAGGAGAAAUUGUCUCUUUUCGAGAAUCUGGUACACUCGAAUUGUAUUAUUUAAGUGCUUAUUGCUUGCCAAAAAUCCUACUUCUACAAUUGGUAGGUCAUCGGUUUAUUCAAAUAAGUCGUGUUUUCUGUGCUUUUUCCAUGUUACAACUUCCGUACCAAUUCGAUCGAUCCGGAAUGGAUCGGUUAAACAAACGUCUUUUCCGUUUUCUCAAAAUAAAAAACGUAAGGGUAUCUUUGUCGUUUUUCAUCUGA